CUGAAAAGCUGGUAUGAACUCUAUCUAUUUUGUUUUUGUAAAUAUGACUAGCUUGUCGACCCAGAUUUAGCUUUGUUGUGAGAGAACCAUGUUCGCAAUGACAACUUAGAGAUCAUAGUUUCUGAUGCCAUGCUUAUUUAGCUGAGAGCUUAUAAUGGUUUGUCUUGAAUGCCAACAUAGAUUUUGAGAUGACUAUGAUGUAGUAUGAUAGGAUGGUAUUCUCCUUUGA
This 229-nucleotide long non-coding RNA is filed under the name Hordeum vulgare. Its description in RNAcentral is "long non-coding RNA (HVUL_LNC013134)". The record is from RNAcentral. Lineage: Eukaryota; Viridiplantae; Streptophyta; Magnoliopsida; Poales; Poaceae.